ACUCAGUUGGUAAAGCACAAGGCUCUUAACCUUGUGGACGUGGAUUCAAGUCCCAC
This 56-nucleotide transfer RNA is filed under the name Triticum aestivum (bread wheat). It matches the Rfam family "tRNA", at positions 10 to 63 of the family's 71-position model. Rfam says of the family: Transfer RNA (tRNA) molecules are approximately 80 nucleotides in length. Their secondary structure includes four short double-helical elements and three loops (D, anti-codon, and T loops). Further hydrogen bonds mediate the characteristic L-shaped molecular structure. tRNAs have two regions of fundamental functional importance: the anti-codon, which is responsible for specific mRNA codon recognition, and the 3' end, to which the tRNAs corresponding amino acid is attached (by aminoacyl-tRNA synthetases). tRNAs cope with the degeneracy of the genetic code in two manners: having more than one tRNA (with a specific anti-codon) for a particular amino acid; and 'wobble' base-pairing, i.e. permitting non-standard base-pairing at the 3rd anti-codon position. RNAcentral also lists the same sequence under 1 other name. Lineage: Eukaryota; Viridiplantae; Streptophyta; Magnoliopsida; Poales; Poaceae. The record is from Rfam by way of RNAcentral.